GGAUGUGAGGGUGAUCUGGCUGUGACAUCUGUCAUCCCAUUGGUCACCAGGUUUGAUUCGGCUGAUCUGGCUGGCUAGGAGGGUGUCCCCUUCCUCCCUCACUGCUCCAUGUGUAUCCAUCCCGAAGCUGCAUGCUAGGUCGAAGAGGAUGACAUCCCCAAUAGAGGAGGUCCAUUCUUUGGUCAAGGGUAUGUGAGUAGCUUUGAUUCCUUGCUAGUACCUCCAAACAACCUCUCAAAUAUUUAUAACCGAAGUAUUCACAAUAGCCAGGUUAAGGUAUCACUCUAGUUGUCCAUCAACAAUGGAAUAAAAAAAUUG
Molecule: small nuclear RNA, 318 nt
Filed under: Castor canadensis (American beaver)
Lineage: Eukaryota; Metazoa; Chordata; Mammalia; Rodentia; Castoridae
Description: 7SK RNA (ENSCCNG00000014819.1)
Rfam family: 7SK RNA (bases 1-286)
About the family: 7SK was discovered as an abundant small nuclear RNA in the mid-70s but a possible function has only recently been suggested. Two independent studies have found that 7SK RNA binds the CDK9/cyclin T complex (known as elongation factor P-TEFb).
Source: Rfam by way of RNAcentral